CCUACUACCGGCCAAGCCG
RNAcentral lists this small nuclear RNA (19 nucleotides) under Arabidopsis thaliana (thale cress). RNAcentral's name for it is "snRNA_08920". Lineage: Eukaryota; Viridiplantae; Streptophyta; Magnoliopsida; Brassicales; Brassicaceae. The record is from RNAcentral.